CUUUUAGCUCUUGUCAUUUGUCAUUUAGACCCCAGACCUUAUGCUCAGUUUAACAUUAUAUGCUCAAAUGAGUGGACGGCAUAUCGCAAUUGCAUAUAAGAUUUCUAGUCGAAAACAUAUUUUUACUGCGCUGCAACUGGAAAAAUAGAUAUUACGCUACUAAACAAUGGCGAGCAACUGAAGUAAACAAAGCAAGAGAAAACAUCAAAUGCCUGUGGAGAAAAAACAACAACAUACAUGCACACGCAUACAGGCAAAACUCUUAUACAUACACGCAGCAACGCCACGCACUAAUUAUGCAGUCAUCAACGUUUUUAGCUUGGGCCUCGAUAUAAUAUCCUUAAUGACGCCAGCAAGGAG
Long non-coding RNA from Drosophila busckii, 360 nucleotides. RefSeq lists it as uncharacterized. The transcript is spliced from 3 exons. NCBI's taxonomy places the organism in Eukaryota, Metazoa, Arthropoda, Insecta, Diptera, Drosophilidae. The record is from RefSeq and is a predicted model, not a curated record.